Molecule: ribosomal RNA, 497 nt
Filed under: uncultured bacterium
Lineage: Bacteria
Description: bacterial SSU rRNA
Rfam family: Bacterial small subunit ribosomal RNA
Source: RNAcentral
AGGACGAACGCUGGCGGCGUGCUUAACACAUGCAAGUCGAACGGGGAUUAGUUGAUAGAGAGCUUCGGCAGGAAAUUGAUUAAUCGAGUGGCGGACGGGUGAGUAACGCGUGAGCAACCUGUCCCAGACAGGGGGAUAACACUUGGAAACAGGUGCUAAUACCGCAUAAGACCACGGGAUCACAUGGUUCUGGGGUAAAAGGAGCAAUCCGGUUUGGGGUGGGCUCGCGUCCGAUUAGCCAGUUGGCGGGGUAACGGCCCACCAAAACGACGAUCGGUAGCCGACCUGAGAGGGUGAACGGCCACAUUGGAACUGAGAGACGGUCCAAACUCCUACGGGAGGCAGCAGUGGGGAAUAUUGGGCAAUGGGCGAAAGCCUGACCCAGCAACGCCGCGUGAGUGAAGAAGGCCUUCGGGUUGUAAAGCUCUGUUAUAGUUGACGAAGGAAGUGACGGUAGGCUAUAAGGAAGCCCCGGCUAACUACGUGCCAGCCGCCGC